CCAUGCUGUAAACGUUGUCUACUAGCCGUUGGGGGACAUGAUUCCUUAGUGGCGCAGCUAACGCGAUAAGUAAUCCGCCUGGGGAGUACGUACGCAAGUAUGAAACUCAAAGGAAUUGACGGGGGCCCGCACAAGCGGUGGAGCAUGUGGUUUAAUUCGAUGCAACGCGAAGAACCUUACCUGGCCUUGACAUACCAAGAAUUUGCUAGAGAUAGCGAAGUGCCUUCGGGAACUUGGAUACAGGUGCUGCAUGGCUGU
Molecule: ribosomal RNA, 258 nt
Filed under: uncultured bacterium
Lineage: Bacteria
Description: partial 16S ribosomal RNA
Rfam family: Bacterial small subunit ribosomal RNA
Source: RNAcentral